RNAcentral lists this ribosomal RNA (485 nucleotides) under uncultured bacterium. RNAcentral's name for it is "partial 16S ribosomal RNA". It matches the Rfam family "Bacterial small subunit ribosomal RNA", at positions 36 to 507 of the family's 1533-position model. The record is from RNAcentral.
UCUUCCCUCUGGCGGCGUGCUUAACACAUGCAAGUCGAACGGGAUCCAAGGGGUGCUUGCACUUUUUGGUGAGAGUGGCGAACGGGUGAGUAACACGUGAGUAACCUGUCCUUUUCUUUGGGAUAAGCAUUCGAAAGGGUGUUUAAUACCUUAUGUUCUGUCUGCCUCGCAUGGGGUGGGUGGGAAAGGCUUUGGCCGGAUUUGGGUGGGCUCGCGGUCUAUCAGCUUGUUGGUGGGGUGAUGGCUUACCAAGGCUUUGACGGGUAGCCGGCCUGAGAGGGUGGUCGGUCACAUUGGGACUGAGAUACGGCCCAGACUCCUGCGGGAGGCAGCAGUGGGGGAUAUUGCACAAUGGGCGAAAGCCUGAUGCAGCGACGCCGCGUGGGGGAGGAAGGCCUUCGGGGUGUAAACUUCUUUUGCUCUGAACAAGGCAUGCCAGUGGGUGUGUUGAGUGUAGGGGUUGAUUAGCGCCGGCUAACUACGUG